RNAcentral lists this ribosomal RNA (465 nucleotides) under uncultured bacterium. RNAcentral describes it as "partial 16S ribosomal RNA". It matches the Rfam family "Bacterial small subunit ribosomal RNA", at positions 28 to 507 of the family's 1533-position model. The record is from RNAcentral.
GACGAACGCUGGCGGCGUGCUUAACACAUGCAAGUCGUACGGUAAGGCCCUUUCGGGGGUACACGAGUGGCGAACGGGUGAGUAACACGUGAGUAACCUGCCCACAACUUUGGGAUAACGCUAGGAAACUGGUGCUAAUACUGGAUAUGUGCUCCUGCUGCAUGGUGGGGGUUGGAAAGCUCCGGCGGUUGUGGAUGGACUCGCGGCCUAUCAGCUUGUUGGUGGGGUAGUGGCCUACCAAGGCGGCGACGGGUAGCCGGCCUGAGAGGGUGGCCGGCCACAUUGGGACUGAGAUACGGCCCAGACUCCUACGGGGGGCAGCAGGGGGGAAUAUUGCACAAUGGGCGCAAGCCUGAUGCAGCAACGCCGCGUGCGGGAUGACGGCCUUCGGGUUGGAAACCGCUUUCAGCAGGGACGAAGCUUUUUGUGACGGUACCUGCAGAAGAAGCACCGGCUAACUACGUG